GGGUGCCAAUAUUAGUGGAGGGCGCUGUAUAAGUUAAAAUGAUAUCUAUAGCAUAUUAAUAUUUUUCUCUCCAUCCUAUAGAUCUGCUACACAAUAAACAUCGGCAAGGAGAUUACAGAAGCUAAGAAGGAUCCAGACGCUCUGGCCGAGCUGAUGAAGUCUGUUCCGCUGACCAGUGACGGGAAGUUCCUGCUGCUGGAGAGCGAGACAGGAGAGGCGGCGAACGGAGAAGGAGAGGAUGACUUGGAGUCUGAGGCCUGAAAGUUGUUUAGGUUUCUCAAAGGAUAAGCGCUGACCUAGUUUAUUAUUUUUUUCUCGUCUCUUAUACUCUAACGAAGAUCUAAGGAGCUGAUCCUAGAUAUACACUUUACAUACGCACCGACUAUAGACUCUUAUGUUAUGGUACGUUUACGGCUCUGUUCUAACACUCCUGACGUCUGUCUCGAUGCUAAAUACCAAGUUUUGCUCUAUACAAAUAAUCAACAAGAGGGCUAAAGAUGGAGGUUGAAGAGGGAGUUUUACAUUCUAGCAGCUAAAUCAAUCCAGAGCAACAUAGUUCAUGCUAAAUACUGCACACCACCCCACUCUGAUCAGGUUCAGAUCAGAAUCUGGCAAAUCGUUGCCGUUUUUUUUUUUCUUUCCAUCGUGACCACGUUCACAUCGUCCUACGGCAUGAUCGAGACUCUUAAUAGCUGCUCUUCUCCGUUACAGUAAGGGAGCGCGAUGAAAAGACGAGGCUAGCGAAGAGUACCGCUCUCAUAUACAUGAAUAUCAGACAGGUUCGGACUUCUACUUGCACUUUCUCCCGACGCCUUCGCUCAAUAUAUUCUCUCUGCUAGUUCAGGAUUAAGGAGCUUGAUGUAAAGGCGUACCGUUUUAUUACUCUGACGUACUGAGACUUCUUCAGGCGCGAUCACGCUACACGGACGUCCGAUUUUGCAUUUAUUGAGAUUUCUAGAUCAAAUACGUUUGCUAAGCACAUCGCAGUAAUAGAAAGCCCGUGCGCUUGAGUUUCGACACACAGUACUGCUUAGCUAGACUGGCAACUUUCCCCGCUUAAGGCACAGGAUCGAACGGCACUUCCCAGAGCUACGUAUACUGCAUGUUGAGUUUUGGGUAAUUGCACUAAUCGGAAUGUAAAAGUAAUAGUACUGUAAUCCGGCUAAAUUCCACGCGGUUUGUCGAGAGAAAAUUUCUUUCCUUACGUGAUGACUGUGAAGCUGGUCCGGACCUCUGUGUGCCGAUUUACUUACUUACUUACGAAGAACGAGGCGUGUUUCAGCACACGUCACUGAACUAAA
Ictalurus punctatus (channel catfish) is the source of this 1301-nucleotide long non-coding RNA. The record is from Ensembl. Lineage: Eukaryota; Metazoa; Chordata; Actinopteri; Siluriformes; Ictaluridae.